RNAcentral lists this transfer RNA (69 nucleotides) under Urocitellus parryii (Arctic ground squirrel). RNAcentral's name for it is "Spermophilus parryii (Arctic ground squirrel) tRNA". It matches the Rfam family "tRNA". From Rfam's summary of the family: Transfer RNA (tRNA) molecules are approximately 80 nucleotides in length. Their secondary structure includes four short double-helical elements and three loops (D, anti-codon, and T loops). Further hydrogen bonds mediate the characteristic L-shaped molecular structure. tRNAs have two regions of fundamental functional importance: the anti-codon, which is responsible for specific mRNA codon recognition, and the 3' end, to which the tRNAs corresponding amino acid is attached (by aminoacyl-tRNA synthetases). tRNAs cope with the degeneracy of the genetic code in two manners: having more than one tRNA (with a specific anti-codon) for a particular amino acid; and 'wobble' base-pairing, i.e. permitting non-standard base-pairing at the 3rd anti-codon position. The record is from Rfam by way of RNAcentral. RNAcentral also lists the same sequence under 1 other name. Lineage: Eukaryota; Metazoa; Chordata; Mammalia; Rodentia; Sciuridae.
GGGGCUGUAGCUCAGUGGCAAAGUGCUUGCCUAGCAUGCAUGAAGCACUGGGUUCGAUCCUCAGCACCA